RNAcentral lists this ribosomal RNA (499 nucleotides) under uncultured bacterium. Its description in RNAcentral is "partial 16S ribosomal RNA". It matches the Rfam family "Bacterial small subunit ribosomal RNA", at positions 28 to 507 of the family's 1533-position model. The record is from RNAcentral.
GACGAACGCUGGCGGCGCGCCUAAUACAUGCAAGUCGAGCGAAGUUUUUCUGGUUCUUGCACUAGAAAAACUUAGCGGCGAACGGGUGAGUAACACGUAAAGAACCUGCCUCAUAGACUGGGACAACUAUUGGAAACGAUAGCUAAUACCGGAUAACAGUAUUUCUCGCAUGAGAGAUAUUUAAAAGUUGGUUAUGCUAACACUAUGAGAUGGCUUUGCGGUGCAUUAGCUAGUUGGUGGGGUAAAGGCCCACCAAGGCGACGAUGCAUAGCCGACCUGAGAGGGUGAUCGGCCACACUGGGACUGAGACACGGCCCAGACUCCUACGGGAGGCAACAGUAGGGAAUCUUCCGCAAUGGGCGAAAGCCUGACGGAGCAACGCCGCGUGAGUGAAGAAGGAUUUCGGUUCGUAAAGCUCUGUUGUUAGGGAAGAAUGGAUAUGUAGUAACUAUGCAUGUAAGAGACGGUACCCAAACAGAAAGCCACGGCUAACUACGUG